This 253-nucleotide ribosomal RNA is filed under the name uncultured bacterium. RNAcentral describes it as "partial 16S ribosomal RNA". It matches the Rfam family "Bacterial small subunit ribosomal RNA", at positions 524 to 776 of the family's 1533-position model. The record is from RNAcentral.
UACGGAGGGUGCAAACGUUGCUCGGAAUCAUUGGGCGUAAAGCGCACGUAGGCGGCCUGUUAAGUCGGGUGUGAAAGCCCUGGGCUCAACCCAGGAAGUGCACUCGAAACUGGCGGGCUUGAAUAUGGAAGAGGGUCGCGGAAUUCCCGGUGUAGAGGUGAAAUUCGUAGAUAUCGGGAGGAACACCAGUGGCGAAGGCGGCGACCUGGGCCGUUACUGACGCUGAGGAGCGAAAGCGUGGGGAGCGAACAGG